UUAGAGUUUGAUCCUGGCUCAGGAUGCAUUCUGGCGGCGUGCUUAACACAUGCAAGUCGAACGAAGCGAUCAGGAGGAAGUUUUCGGAUGGAAUCCGGAUUGACUGAGUGGCGGACGGGUGAGUAACGCGUGGGUAACCUGCCUCAUACAGGGGGAUAACAGUUAGAAAUGACUGCUAAUACCGCAUAAGCGCACAGGGACACAUGUUCCGGUGUGAAAAACUCCGGUGGUAUGAGAUGGACCCGCGUCUGAUUAGCUGGUUGGCGGGGCAACGGCCCACCAAGGCGACGAUCAGUAGCCGGACUGAGAGGUUGGCCGGCCACAUUGGGACUGAGACACGGCCCAGACUCCUACGGGAGGCAGCAGUGGGGAAUAUUGGGCAAUGGGCGCAAGCCUGACCCAGCAACGCCGCGUGAAGGAAGAAAGCUUUCGGGUUGUAAACUUCUUUUCUCAGGGACGAAGCAAGUGACGGUACCUGAGGAAUAAGCCACGGCUAACUACGUGCCAGCAGCCGCGGUAAUACGUAGGUGGCAAGCGUUAUCCGGAUUUACUGGGUGUAAAGGGCGUGUAGGCGGGACUGCAAGUCAGAUGUGAAAACCACGGGCUCAACCUGUGGCCUGCAUUUGAAACUGUAGUUCUUGAGUACUGGAGAGGCAGACGGAAUUCCUAGUGUAGCGGUGAAAUGCGUAGAUAUUAGGAGGAACACCAGUGGCGAAGGCGGUCUGCUGGACAGCAACUGACGCUGAGGCGCGAAAGCGUGGGGAGCAAACAGGAUUAGAUACCCUGGUAGUCCACGCUGUAAACGAUGGAUACUAGGUGUGGGGGGACUGACCCCCUCCGUGCCGCAGUUAACACAAUAAGUAUCCCACCUGGGGAGUACGAUCGCAAGGUUGAAACUCAAAGGAAUUGACGGGGGCCCGCACAAGCGGUGGAGUAUGUGGUUUAAUUCGAAGCAACGCGAAGAACCUUACCAGGGCUUGACAUCCCGAGGACCGGACUAGAGAUAGUCUUUUCUCUUCGGAGACCUCGGAGACAGGUGGUGCAUGGUUGUCGUCAGCUCGUGUCGUGAGAUGUUGGGUUAAGUCCCGCAACGAGCGCAACCCUUAUUGUUAGUUGCUACGCAAGAGCACUCUAGCGAGACUGCCGUUGACAAAACGGAGGAAGGUGGGGAUGACGUCAAAUCAUCAUGCCCCUUAUGAUUUGGGCUACACACGUGCUACAAUGGCGUAAACAGAGGGAAGCGAACCCGCGAGGGGGAGCAAAUCCCAAAAAUAACGUCCCAGUUCGGAUUGUAGCCUGCAACCCGGCUACAUGAAGCUGGAAUCGCUAGUAAUCGCGGAUCAGAAUGCCGCGGUGAAUACGUUCCCGGGUCUUGCACACACCACCCGUCA
Molecule: ribosomal RNA, 1391 nt
Filed under: uncultured bacterium
Lineage: Bacteria
Description: 16S ribosomal RNA
Rfam family: Bacterial small subunit ribosomal RNA
Source: RNAcentral